UUUUUUUGGUUUAUUUUGCCUUAAAUCGGGGUAGAGGACGUUAAGGUGGUCAAAAGGCUCCUUUUUCAUUUUUUACCGGUCACGGUGGUCCGACGGCCGGAGCAAAUGGGGCAGGGGGAGAGUUGAGAGAGGUUGAGAGAGUUUGGCAGAUUUUUUUUUAAAUAGGGCUGAAAUGUUUUUUGGGUUAAAAAAAUUUCUAUUUAUAGUGUAGGCC
This 214-nucleotide long non-coding RNA is filed under the name Gossypium raimondii (Peruvian cotton). RNAcentral's name for it is "long non-coding RNA (GRAI_LNC003970)". The record is from RNAcentral. Lineage: Eukaryota; Viridiplantae; Streptophyta; Magnoliopsida; Malvales; Malvaceae.